AGUAGCCGCGGUAAUUCCAGCUCCAAUAGCGUAUAUUAAAGUUGUUGCAGUUAAAAAGCUCGUAGUUGAAUUUCGGGAUCAAUGCGUCGGUCGUGCUUUCGGGUACGUACUGGUGUCAUUGGUUUCUCCUUUCUGACGAGCCGUGAUGUCAUUAAUUUGGUGUUACGGGUAGUUAGGACUGUUACUUUGAAAAAAUUAGAGUGUUUAAAGCAGGCAUUCGCUUGAAUACAUUAGCAUGGAAUAAUGAAAUAGGACGUUCGACCCUAUUUUGUUGGUUUCUAGGAUCAACGUAAUGAUUAAUAGGGAUAGUUGGGGGCAUUAGUAUUCAAUUGUCAGAGGUGAAAUUCUUGGAUUUAUUGAAGACUAACUACUGCGAAAGCAUUUGCCAAGGAUGUUUUCAUUAAUCAAGAACGAAAGUUAGGGGAUCGAAGACGAUCAGAUACCGUCGUAGUCUUAACCAUAAACUAUGCCGACUAGGGAUCGGAUGAUGUUAAUUUUUUAAUGACUCAUUCGGCGCCUU
Molecule: ribosomal RNA, 520 nt
Filed under: uncultured Glomus
Lineage: Eukaryota; Fungi; Glomeromycota; Glomeromycetes; Glomerales; Glomeraceae
Description: SSU rRNA
Rfam family: Eukaryotic small subunit ribosomal RNA
Source: RNAcentral